UGUAGCUUCAUUGUCUCGAAUGUACAUAAGCCCAGGAAUAAAAUCUUUAUCAACCUCACUGAGAUCAGCAAUUGUUAGGUUCAUUCCUGCAAGCUGUUUCCAUACUGGUUCAGCAAGGUUGAGGCUCAGAGGGCUGCCAGUCCGGAUAGCAAUACCCAGAAGUACACCCAAGAAACGGAACAUGUUCAUGUGCAAGAGAGACUUGGCAGCAGGAUUUAAUAGGAAACAAUCUCGGUUUGCUCCAGAUUCAUCUCUUCCAUUUGGUGUCACGAUUAACAGAGGGGUCAGCCCAUUCUGAAGCUCCUCACACAUUUCUGCUAUUGAUUCACUGUAACCUCCACCGCAAUCAUCCACAGAUUCACCAACAAACUUGACUUUCCAAACACGAUGAGGAAGCAGAAGGCUAUCAGGGCUAAAAGAGCUCAUUUUAGCACACAUCUGUCCGAAAACUGACUUUGUACCAUCCGGCCCAGCCAGUCCACCUUUACUCCUAGAACGUUUUACCUGGAUUCUAUUGAGCUCAACAACUGGCCCAUGCUGACGAUCUCUCACCAUAGUUGCUUGCACAACCUUUCGGAAAGCUGCCUCCUUUCCCUGUGAUAUCAGUAUUCCCC
RNAcentral lists this long non-coding RNA (614 nucleotides) under Gallus gallus (chicken). The record is from RNAcentral. Lineage: Eukaryota; Metazoa; Chordata; Aves; Galliformes; Phasianidae.